Long non-coding RNA from Poecilia reticulata (guppy), 605 nucleotides. RefSeq lists it as uncharacterized. The record is from RefSeq and is a predicted model, not a curated record. Lineage: Eukaryota; Metazoa; Chordata; Actinopteri; Cyprinodontiformes; Poeciliidae.
GCUCAUACAGUUCUGGCUCAUCCCCUUUCAUUUCUGUUUGUGCCUUUGCUAGACUCUUGGAGCCCUUCAGAAGCCUCCCAUGACAGCGUGGCCAGACCAACACCGGCAGCAUGACCUUUAUGGUCACAGCAGCAGACCCUGUCCACACUCAGGCACAGUGAUGAGGGAGAGGAAGCAAUCUCUGUGCUCCUUCCUCAUCAUCAUCUUCCUUUGAGCCAACUUGUCUGCUCUCCGACGCUCACUCUGUUCCACCUGCUGAAGCCCUCAGCGUCAUCUCCUCAUUCCCAGCUCCGAGCCUCCUGCACUCUCCUCAUCAUCCAGCUCCAAGUCUCCAUCAAACCUCUGGCUAAAACUACCACACACACCAACAACCCUGGAUUCCACUCACUCCUCCCUGGAGGGCCGACAGUGGCUCUGUCGUUCUGUCCUUGGGCGAGACACUUCACCCACCUUGCCUGCUGGUGUUAGUCAGAGGGCCCUGUGGAGCAGGUGUAUGGCAGCCUCACUGCUGUAAAAUCUUCCCCAGGAGAAAUGCAGCUACAAUUUUGCUUACCACCAUCACCACCAGCGUGUAUGUGAAUGACUGAAUGUGGUUUAAAGCGCUU